GAUGAACGCUGGCGGCGUGCCUAAUACAUGCAAGUCGAGCGAACGGACGAGAAGCUUGCUUUUCUGAUGUUAGCGGCGGACGGGUGAGUAACACGUGGUUAACCUACCUAUAAGACUGGGAUAACUUCGGGAAACCGGAGCUGAUACCGGAGAAUAUUUUGAACCGCAUGGUUCAAAAGUGAAAGACGGUCUUGCUGUCACUUAUAGAUGGAUCCGCGCUGCAUUAGCUAGUUGGUAAGGUAACGGCUUACCAAGGCAACGAUGCAUAGCCGACCUGAGAGGGUGAUCGGCCACACUGGAACUGAGACACGGUCCAGACUCCUACGGGAGGCAGCAGUAGGGAAUCUUCCGCAAUGGGCGAAAGCCUGACGGAGCAACGCCGCGUGAGUGAUGAAGGUCUUCGGAUCGUAAAACUCUGUUAUUAGGGAAGAACAUAUGUGUAAGUAACUGUGCACAUCUUGACGGUACCUAAUCAGAAAGCCACGGCUAACUACGUG
RNAcentral lists this ribosomal RNA (497 nucleotides) under uncultured bacterium. Its description in RNAcentral is "partial 16S ribosomal RNA". It matches the Rfam family "Bacterial small subunit ribosomal RNA", at positions 28 to 507 of the family's 1533-position model. The record is from RNAcentral.